This 248-nucleotide ribosomal RNA is filed under the name uncultured bacterium. Its description in RNAcentral is "partial 16S ribosomal RNA". It matches the Rfam family "Bacterial small subunit ribosomal RNA", at positions 523 to 769 of the family's 1533-position model. The record is from RNAcentral.
AUACGAAGGGGGCUAGCGUUGUUCGGAAUUACUGGGCGUAAAGCGCAUGUAGGCGGACAUUUAAGUCAGGGGUGAAAUCCCGGGGCUCAACCUCGGAACUGCCUUUGAUACUGGGUGUCUAGAGUGUGGAAGAGGUAAGUGGAAUUCCGAGUGUAGAGGUGGAAUGCGUAGAUAUUUGGAGGAACACCAGUGGCGAAGGCGGCUUGCUGGGCCGGAACUGACGCUGAGGCACGAAAGCGGUGGGGAGC